Molecule: long non-coding RNA, 1469 nt
Filed under: Mytilus galloprovincialis (Mediterranean mussel)
Lineage: Eukaryota; Metazoa; Mollusca; Bivalvia; Mytilida; Mytilidae
Source: RNAcentral
GGGGCGUAACUCCUAGAAAAUAAAUUGAAUCGCAAUUUCCCGUCGAUAUGCACAACUACAUAGUAUGUCCUUAUUAUCUGAAAAGGUUUCGUGAAAUUCUGUUGUGUGGUUUGAGAGGAGUUGCGAUGACAAACUGUUGCAGUAGUACAUUAAAGUAAAUAAGUUCAAAGGGGCGUAACUCCUAGAAAAAAAAUUGAAUCGCAAUUUCCCGUCAAUAUGCACAACUACAUAGUAUGUCCUUAUUAUCUGAAAAGGUUUCAUGAAAUUCUGAUGCAUGGUUUGAAAGGAGUUGUGAUGACAAAAAACAGGACUGACGGACAGACGAACAGGUCAAAAACAUUAUACCCUCCGCAACUCGUUGCAUGGGGUAUAAUUAACAUUUCAAUAUUAUAAAUGAACACGAAUAAUUACAAUAUCAUAAUGUAAGGGGAAAAUUUACACUUUCAUUUAAGACAGAAACCGUCUAAAAUUUACCAAAAAAUCUAAAAUUUUGAAGAUUUCAGUAAUUUAGCAUAACUUAAUGAUGCUACAUGUAGUACCUGAUAUAUGCAUUGUAUUGUCAAAAACAUCCUAUAUUUAUUUAGCAGAAGCAUGCUACUUUCCAAUAAAUAGCUUAAGGAUUACAUUUUCACAAUUUUGUAAAACUGCUAUAUUUUGUGGCCAAAAAGGGGUCUUACUGAAUCUACUCCUUUGUAAUGAAAAAAUAAAUGUUUAUUUUUCUCUUAAAUUUUUAUACAUGUACCCUCGAGCCUCCUUAUUGUAACUUAUAGUAGUUUCUGGUUUUAUCAUUGUUGCAGGCCAUACAGUGACCUAAAGUUGUUAAUUUCUAAUGUAAUUGUGUCUAUUGUCUAGAGACAAGAUUUGUCUCAUUGGCAAUCAUACAGUAUACCAUAUUUUCUUUUUAAUUUGUUGACUUAAUAUUCUGAAUAUUUCAACACCUAUUCACAUAUUUUUAAACUAGAAAUCAAUGGUGGAUCUAGAAAUUUUCAUAAGAGGGGGCCCUUUUACUGCCUAAGAGGGGGUCCCUACUUGAGUCAUUCCCUAUACAAUCAACUAAAUUUUUCUAACAAAAGGUGUUGUCAGACCGGGCCACCUGAUUCUGCCUAUCUAGAAACAUAAUAGUGAGUUGUCUCAUUGGCAAUCAUACAGUGUACCACAUUUUCUUUUUAAUUUGUUGACUUAAUAUAUUUCUUAAUAUUUUCAACACCUAUUCACAUAUUUUUAAACUAGAAAACAAUGGCGGAUCUAGAAAUUUUCAUAAGAGGGGGCCCAUAGACUGCCCAAGAGGGGGUCCCCACUUCAGUCUUUUCCCCUUACAUUAUGAUAUUGUAAAGUCAAUUGUAAAAUACUGGUAUAGAUUUGAAAAUCUUACAACUGAAUUCAUAUGUUGAAAUCAUAAUCUUUCAGUCAGUUUAAUUGAAGUCUGGAGCUGGCAUGUCAGUUAACUGCUAGUAGUCUGUUGUUAUUUA